This 292-nucleotide ribosomal RNA is filed under the name uncultured Verrucomicrobiota bacterium. Its description in RNAcentral is "uncultured Verrucomicrobia bacterium partial 16S ribosomal RNA". Lineage: Bacteria; Pseudomonadati; Verrucomicrobiota. The record is from RNAcentral.
GGACUACAGGGGUAUCUAAUCCCGUUUGCUCCCCUGGCUUUCGUGCCUCAGCGUCAGGAAUUGUCCAGAGACUCGCCUUCGCCACUGGUGUUCCACUUGAUAUCUACGCAUUUCACUGCUACACCAAGUAUUCCAGUCUCCCUUCCAAUCCUCUAGCCGAAUAGUAUCCGACGCAGUUUCCGGGUUAGGCCCGGAGAUUUCACGUCAGACUUACCCGACCGCCUACGCACCCUUUACGCCCAGUGAAUCCGAACAACGCUUGGGACCUCUGUAUUACCGCGGCUGCUGGCAC